This 85-nucleotide transfer RNA is filed under the name Gammaproteobacteria bacterium. RNAcentral describes it as "tRNA-Leu". It matches the Rfam family "tRNA". From Rfam's summary of the family: Transfer RNA (tRNA) molecules are approximately 80 nucleotides in length. Lineage: Bacteria; Pseudomonadati; Pseudomonadota; Gammaproteobacteria. The record is from RNAcentral.
GCGGACGUGGCGGAAUUGGUAGACGCGCUGGAUUUAGGUUCCAGUGCCGGAAGGUGUGAGAGUUCAAGUCUCUCCGUCCGCACCA